CAGCAGCCGCGGGAAUACAGAGGGUGCAAGCGUUAAUCGGAAUUACUGGGCGUAAAGCGCGCGUAGGUGGUUUGUUAAGUUGGAUGUGAAAGCCCCGGGCUCAACCUGGGAACUGCAUCCAAAACUGGCAAGCUAGAGUACGGUAGAGGGUGGUGGAAUUUCCUGUGUAGCGGUGAAAUGCGUAGAUAUAGGAAGGAACACCAGUGGCGAAGGCGACCACCUGGACUGAUACUGACACUGAGGUGCGAAAGCGUGGGGAGCAAACAGGAUUAGAUACCCCGGUAGUCCCUGUCUCUUAUAA
RNAcentral lists this ribosomal RNA (301 nucleotides) under uncultured bacterium. RNAcentral describes it as "partial 16S ribosomal RNA". It matches the Rfam family "Bacterial small subunit ribosomal RNA", at positions 509 to 809 of the family's 1533-position model. The record is from RNAcentral.